UAAAACACAUAGAUUGGGAGCAGUAAAAGAAAGUGAUCAGAACAGAGAGCUGCGGGGUGGUGCGACGCAGCCUGAUUCUUCUUUGAACUCGCCCGGGAGUGGUAAGACGGAACGGAAUAGAUUGAAUAUUCCCUAUGUUUUAACGGCUAACCUUCGUUACAGGUCAAAAGCAGGAUUCUUCAUGAAGAAUCAACAAGAGUGGUACCGCGGUCAGCCGAAGGCUCGUCGUCUCUUUA
RNAcentral lists this non-coding RNA (236 nucleotides) under Bacillus subtilis. Its description in RNAcentral is "T-box sequence". It matches the Rfam family "T-box leader". Rfam says of the family: Uncharged tRNA acts as the effector for transcription antitermination of genes in the T-box leader family. T-boxes are found upstream of many aminoacyl-tRNA synthetase genes and some amino acid biosynthetic genes usually in Gram-positive bacteria. The anticodon of a specific tRNA base pairs to a specifier sequence within the T-box motif, and the NCCA acceptor tail of the tRNA base pairs to a conserved bulge in the T-box antiterminator hairpin. Lineage: Bacteria; Bacillati; Bacillota; Bacilli; Caryophanales; Bacillaceae. RNAcentral also lists the same sequence under 1 other name. The record is from RNAcentral.